Molecule: long non-coding RNA, 232 nt
Filed under: Olea europaea (common olive)
Lineage: Eukaryota; Viridiplantae; Streptophyta; Magnoliopsida; Lamiales; Oleaceae
Description: long non-coding RNA (OEUR_LNC007956)
Source: RNAcentral
UAUAAUUUAGCCUCAUUGGUUAAAUUAUUUGUGGGCAUAGAAAGGCUGACUUAACGUUUUCUCGUGAGGGACGGGAAUCGUCGAACGUUAAGGCCGCACGGUUCUAGUUUGUUCGGGUGUAACGAAACCAGGCCCGUGACAAGUGGUAUCAGAGCAAGGUUCACAUGGGGUUGAACCAAUUUUUCAUCUCAGAGGUGAGGUGAUAUCCGUGUAAGGUUCACGUGGUGUGGAC